This 1158-nucleotide ribosomal RNA is filed under the name Enterobacter sp. c83(2012). RNAcentral describes it as "bacterial SSU rRNA". It matches the Rfam family "Bacterial small subunit ribosomal RNA", at positions 56 to 1202 of the family's 1533-position model. Lineage: Bacteria; Pseudomonadati; Pseudomonadota; Gammaproteobacteria; Enterobacterales; Enterobacteriaceae. The record is from RNAcentral.
UGCAAGUCGAACAGGUACCAGCAGCUUGCUGCUUCGCUGACGAGUGGCGGACGGGUGAGAUAAUGUCUGGGAAACUGCCUGAUGGAGGGGGAUAACUACUGGAAACGGUAGCUAAUACCGCAUAACGUCGCAAGACCAAAGAGGGGGACCUUCGGGCCUCUUGCCAUCGGAUGUGCCCAGAUGGGAUUAGCUAGUAGGUGGGGUAACGGCUCACCUAGGCGACGAUCCCUAGCUGGUCUGAGAGGAUGACCAGCCACACUGGAACUGAGACACGGUCCAGACUCCUACGGGAGGCAGCAGUGGGGAAUAUUGCACAAUGGGCGCAAGCCUGAUGCAGCCAUGCCGCGUGUAUGAAGAAGGCCUUCGGGUUGUAAAGUACUUUCAGCGGGGAGGAAGGCGAUGAGGUUAAUAACCUCAUCGAUUGACGUUACCCGCAGAAGAAGCACCGGCUAACUCCGUGCCAGCAGCCGCGGUAAUACGGAGGGUGCAAGCGUUAAUCGGAAUUACUGGGCGUAAAGCGCACGCAGGCGGUCUGUCAAGUCGGAUGUGAAAUCCCCGGGCUCAACCUGGGAACUGCAUUCGAAACUGGCAGGCUAGAGUCUUGUAGAGGGGGGUAGAAUUCCAGGUGUAGCGGUGAAAUGCGUAGAGAUCUGGAGGAAUACCGGUGGCGAAGGCGGCCCCCUGGACAAAGACUGACGCUCAGGUGCGAAAGCGUGGGGAGCAAACAGGAUUAGAUACCCUGGUAGUCCACGCCGUAAACGAUGUCGACUUGGAGGUUGUGCCCUUGAGGCGUGGCUUCCGGAGCUAACGCGUUAAGUCGACCGCCUGGGGAGUACGGCCGCAAGGUUAAAACUCAAAUGAAUUGACGGGGGCCCGCACAAGCGGUGGAGCAUGUGGUUUAAUUCGAUGCAACGCGAAGAACCUUACCUACUCUUGACAUCCAGAGAACUUUCCAGAGAUGGAUUGGUGCCUUCGGGAACUCUGAGACAGGUGCUGCAUGGCUGUCGUCAGCUCGUGUUGUGAAAUGUUGGGUUAAGUCCCGCAACGAGCGCAACCCUUAUCCUUUGUUGCCAGCGGUCCGGCCGGGAACUCAAAGGAAACUGCCAGUGAUAAACUGGAAGGAAAGGUGGGGAUGACGUCCAAGUCAUCAUGGGCCCU